RNAcentral lists this long non-coding RNA (1221 nucleotides) under Homo sapiens (human). RNAcentral's name for it is "HSALNT0405780". Lineage: Eukaryota; Metazoa; Chordata; Mammalia; Primates; Hominidae. The record is from RNAcentral.
GGAUGGUCUCUAUCUCCUGACCUCGUGAUCCACCCACCUCGGCCUCCCAAAGUGCUGGGAUUACAGAUUCUGGUCUUUCUUAUGGGGAACCUGAGUUCCUGCAUUAAAGUUCCCCCAGAAGAUCAAUGGAAGGUGGAUUCCAAAGAGUGGGCAAGUGAGGACCCCUUCUCUGUUACCAAGGUGACCCCAAGGAACACAGUAAAUGAAAUUUUAAGAAGAUAUAGCCUCUACACCAAGAGGCACAUGACACAACCUGGACUCUGGGCAAACCACCGGGUGCACUCACAUGAAGUGGCGGCUUAUUUGGCCUCCCCAGGACGGACUGGAGCAUCAGUAGUGCCUGAGUUCAUCAAAGGACAGAUGCUCAAGACACCUUGAUCACCAUUAGGUGGAAUUGAAGGAGCCAAAAAUGGGCGCAGUGGCUCCUCAGCAGAGACGCUCCUGAAUGUAUAGACAUGGGAACCACUUUCAGCAUCAAAAAAGGAAACGUUCUGCAUGCCCAUAUCCAGAAAAAUCCCCACUCGCUGUAACUUGCGGUCUACUAAGAGGAAAGUCAGCGGCACCGUGCUGGCAGAGAGGCGGCUUCCAUCCCUCAAACUCACAGUCCAGAAUCCAAGCUCUGUGGUCAGCUGGAUCUUCCCUUUGCAGUGAACAGAUUCUCUGCAGACUCCCAGGUCCCAUUCUGUGCUUGUUCCCACGUCCACCUCCCAGUAGUGGCGGCCACAGGUAAAGCGAGGGGAGCCCAGGAUGCAAACGGACACGUCAAAUCUCUCGGCAAGGUCUUGCCGAUUCUGUGUGAUGAGCCCACUUCGGACGCUCCUGAGGUCGUCAGAAAUGAGGAGGAAGUUGUUGGCUGUGUCGGCAUCCAAGGUCAUAUCCACUGUGAAAAGGAAAACAAGUUGCUCAGCAAGUGGACAGAAGCCAACCCCAUGCCUCUCUUCUACUUCAAAGGCCCAAAUAUCUCCUGACUUUAGUUUCUUUAAUUCUGUUUCUUCCUCCAAAAUCAAAACUUUUCAUGAGGAAACUUCCCUAUUUCAAAUUUUCAUAGGUAUGCUUUGUGGCAAUACGUGACUCUUAUUCACAGUAGCAAUUCUUAUUUUACUUUACGUCACGUGUUUGCUUCACUGAACUUUUCUUCAUUUAGAGUGGAGGGUCUCUGAAGGCAGACACCAUGCCCCCCUUUCUACCACCUUGAUGUGUGAACAAAUAAAUGAUAAUUAA